This 468-nucleotide ribosomal RNA is filed under the name uncultured bacterium. RNAcentral's name for it is "partial 16S ribosomal RNA". It matches the Rfam family "Bacterial small subunit ribosomal RNA", at positions 28 to 507 of the family's 1533-position model. The record is from RNAcentral.
GAUGAACGCUGGCGGCGUGCUUAACACAUGCAAGUCGAACGGACAGGCCCUGCUCUUGCGGGGUGCACGAUUGGCGAACAGGUGAGUAAAACACGUGUAUCCUCCCCCUGUCUGUGGGGUAAAUUCACGAAAAUGGGGAUAUUAUCCGAUAGAAUCUCCUGCACCAUGGGGGGGAAAGGAAAAUUUCGGCGGUAGUGGAUGGACUCGCGGCUUACCAGCUUGUUGGUGGGGUAGUGGAUUACCAAGGCUUUGACGGAUAGCCGGCCUGAGAGGGUGAACGGCCACAUGGGGACUGAGAUACGGCCCAGAAUCCUACGGGAGGCAGCAGGGGGGAAUAUUGCACAAUGGGCGGAAGCCUGAUGCAGCAACGCCGCGUGCGGAAUGACGGCCUUCGGGUUGUAAACCGCUUUCGCCUGUGACGAAGCGUGCGUGACGGUAAUGGGUAAAGAAGCACCGGCUAACUACGUG